UACGACUACAUAUCAGGCAUAUCAAUAAGCGGAGGAAAAGAAGCUAACAAGGAUUCCCUUAGUAACGGCGAGUGAAGCGGGAAGAGCUCAAAUUUGAAAUCUUCAAGGUUUUACCUUGACGAAUUGUAGUUUAAAGAAGUGUUUUCUGUUGAAGUUUCGGUAAAAGUUCUUUGGAAUAGGACAUCAUAGAGGGUGAGAAUCCCGUAUUUGACCAGUUAUUUUCCAGCUGUGUGAUACACUUUCAAAGAGUCGGAUUGUUUGGGAAUGCAGUCCAAAAUGGGUGGUAAAUUUCAUCUAAAGCUAAAUAUUGGCGAGAGACCGAUAGCGAACAAGUACCGUGAGGGAAAGAUGAAAAGAACUUUGAAAAGAGAGCUAAACAGUACGUGAAAUUGUCAAAAGGGAAGCGUUUGACACCAGUGUUGUUUAGUUGAAAAUCAAUUAAAAAAUGCCUGAUUUUGUGUUGUAUUGACUUUAUCGCUUUCUUCACUUUUUUCAUUGUCUAUUUUUAAUGCACUUUUCGUUUAACAAGUCAACAUCAGUUUCUUUUGUUGUAAAAGAGUCAUUGGAAGGUGGCUUUCUUUUCGGAGAAAGUGUUUAUAGCCUUUGACUCCUGCAAUCGGAGAGACUGAGGUCUGCAGCGUAGAUCCUUCUUGGAUUAGAUUCAUUUGUGCUAAGUUAUAGCUUUUAUAGACAACUUGUUGACUAUGAUUAGUCAUGUAGCUUACUCGCUUAUGCUAAUUUUACCUACGCUUAGGAUGUUGAACGCGCACAGAGUCUC
This 778-nucleotide ribosomal RNA is filed under the name uncultured Neocallimastigales. RNAcentral describes it as "partial large subunit ribosomal RNA". It matches the Rfam family "Eukaryotic large subunit ribosomal RNA", at positions 24 to 611 of the family's 3401-position model. The record is from RNAcentral. Lineage: Eukaryota; Fungi; Neocallimastigomycota; Neocallimastigomycetes; Neocallimastigales.